GAUGAACGCUAGCGGGAGGCCUAACACAUGCAAGCCGAGCGGUAUUGUUUCUUCGGAAAUGAGAGAGCGGCGUACGGGUGCGUAACACGUGUGCAACCUGCCUUUAUCUGGGGGAUAGCCUUUCGAAAGGAAGAUUAAUACUCCAUAAUAUAUUGAACGGCAUCGUUUAAUAUUGAAAGCUCCGGCGGAUAGAGAUGGGCACGCGCAAGAUUAGCUAGUUGGUGAGGUAACGGCUCACCAAGGCGAUGAUCUUUAGGGGGCCUGAGAGGGUGAUCCCCCACACUGGUACUGAGACACGGACCAGACUCCUACGGGAGGCAGCAGUGAGGAAUAUUGGUCAAUGGGUGCAAGCCUGAACCAGCCAUCCCGCGUGAAGGACGACUGCCCUAUGGGUUGUAAACUUCUUUUGUAUAGGGAUAAACCUACCCUCGUGAGGGUAGCCGAAGGUACUAUACGAAUAAGCACCGGCUAACUCCGUG
Molecule: ribosomal RNA, 479 nt
Filed under: uncultured bacterium
Lineage: Bacteria
Description: partial 16S ribosomal RNA
Rfam family: Bacterial small subunit ribosomal RNA
Source: RNAcentral